GGAAUAUUGCACAAUGGGCGCAAGCCUGAUGCAGCCAUGCCGCGUGUAUGAAGAAGGCCUUCGGGUUGUAAAGUACUUUCAGCGAGGAGGAAGGCAUAAAGGUUAAUAACCUUUGUGAUUGACGUUACUCGCAGAAGAAGCACCGGCUAACUCCGUGCCAGCAGCCGCGGUAAUACGGGGGGUGCAAGCGUUAAUCGGAAUUACUGGGCGUAAAGCGCACGCAGGCGGUUUGUCAAGUCGGAUGUGAAAUCCCCGGGCUCAACCUGGGAACUGCAUUCGAAACGGGCAAGCUAGAGUCUUGUAGAGGGGGGUAGAAUUCCAGGUGUAGCGGUGAAAUGCGUAGAGAUCUGGAGGAAUACCGGUGGCGAAGGCGGCCCCCUGGACAAAGACUGACGCUCAGGUGCGAAAGCGUGGGGAGCAAACAGGAUUAGAUACCCUUG
Molecule: ribosomal RNA, 440 nt
Filed under: uncultured Buttiauxella sp.
Lineage: Bacteria; Pseudomonadati; Pseudomonadota; Gammaproteobacteria; Enterobacterales; Enterobacteriaceae
Description: bacterial SSU rRNA
Rfam family: Bacterial small subunit ribosomal RNA
Source: RNAcentral